UACGAAGGGUGCAAACGUUGCUCGGAAUUAUUGGGCGUAAAGCGCACGUAGGCGGCUUAGCAAGUCGGAAGUGAAAUCCCACGGCUCAACCAUGGAAGUGCUUUCGAAACUGCUGAGCUUGAGUACGAAAGAGGAUCGCGGAAUUCCCGGUGUAGAGGUGAAAUUCGUAGAUAUCGGGAGAACACCAGUGGCGAAGGCGGCGAUCUGGGUCGAUACUGACGCUGAGGUGCGAAAGCGUGGGGAGCAAACAGG
This 252-nucleotide ribosomal RNA is filed under the name uncultured bacterium. RNAcentral describes it as "partial 16S ribosomal RNA". It matches the Rfam family "Bacterial small subunit ribosomal RNA", at positions 524 to 776 of the family's 1533-position model. The record is from RNAcentral.